Molecule: long non-coding RNA, 838 nt
Filed under: Sorghum bicolor (sorghum)
Lineage: Eukaryota; Viridiplantae; Streptophyta; Magnoliopsida; Poales; Poaceae
Description: long non-coding RNA (SBIC_LNC005479)
Source: RNAcentral
GGUUAGGGUAAACUGUUAAGAUUUAAACUUACUCAUAUUACCUUCCACCAUGGGGCUUGUAACCGUCACUUGUGUCUUGAGUAGUUAAAAGAUAGAACGGUCUAGUCAAGCAUCAUGUCUCUUAUUCUUGAUUAGCUAUAGCUCUAGAGUUUUUGCAGAUUUUCAAAUAAAACUUAGAGAUUCCUUUGUAUGACUCUCUCAGAUCUCUCUUUUGUGGUAUUUCUGGAUCCUUACCAAGGCAGUGAUGGUAUAUGUCUUCUCUCUCACCCUACUCUAAUAAGGUUUUGAUAUCUGGAGCUCAUAGGUGGGAGAUAAAGUAUACAUACUUACAAGACAUUUAUUGCAUAGUCAAACCAUGGAUCCAAAGAAACAAGCCAAUAAGUCAAAUCAAGAUGUGCAUGUGUGGCGAAUGAAUGGUAUAUGAUGAUGAUGGUGAUAACAAUGGUGAAAGUCUAAUUCUACUUUUGCUCUUUUGAGGGGAUACAUACCUUCCCUGCUCUUUUGAAACUUUUUGAGGAGAAUGAGAUGCUCUAUAUUUUCUUUUUCUUUCCUCUCAGGUGGGUAUUUUGUACCCCUAAUUCUACUGUCGGACACUUGUCCAUUUUUACCUCUCGUCUCACUUUUUCUUUUCCUUCGAGGUUCCGGGCACUUGCCCCUUUUUAUUUCCUCGUAUCUCUUUUUUCUCUCUCUCUCUUUUUUAGAGCACUCAUCUCCUGAAAUAAUAUAACAAGUGGUAGUAAACAAGAUAACUUGAGCAUUUAUUUCACAGGGGAAAAACAGAAAUGUUUUUGGCUAUUCUCUCCUGGAUUAGGAGUAGAAUAUUUUUUGGUGGUUCUGG